This 468-nucleotide ribosomal RNA is filed under the name uncultured bacterium. Its description in RNAcentral is "partial 16S ribosomal RNA". It matches the Rfam family "Bacterial small subunit ribosomal RNA", at positions 28 to 507 of the family's 1533-position model. The record is from RNAcentral.
GACGAACGCUGGCGGCGUGCUUAACACAUGCAAGUCGAACGGAAAGGCCCUGCUUUUGUGGGGUGCUCGAGUGGCGAACGGGUGAGUAACACGUGAGUAACCUGCCCUUGACUUUGGGAUAACUUCAGGAAACUGGGGCUAAUACCGGAUAGGAGCUCCGGCUGCAUGGUGGGGGUUGGAAAGUUUCGGCGGUUGGGGAUGGACUCGCGGCUUAUCAGCUUGUUGGUGGGGUAGUGGCUUACCAAGGCUUCGACGGGUAGCCGGCCUGAGAGGGUGACCGGCCACAUUGGGACUGAGAUACGGCCCAGACUCCUACGGGAGGCAGCAGUGGGGAAUAUUGCACAAUGGGCGGAAGCCUGAUGCAGCAACGCCGCGUGCGGGAUGACGGCCUUCGGGUUGUAAACCGCUUUCGCCUGUGACGAAGCGUGAGUGACGGUAAUGGGUAAAGAAGCACCGGCUAACUACGUG